GGAAGGGUGAUAGCUCAGUGGUAGAUCAUCUGCUUUACAUGCAGAAAGUCCAUGGUUCAACCCUUUGCAUCUCCA
Non-coding RNA from Podarcis lilfordi (Lilford's wall lizard), 75 nucleotides. Lineage: Eukaryota; Metazoa; Chordata; Lepidosauria; Squamata; Lacertidae. The record is from the annotation of a GenBank genome assembly.